CGUUGCUUGCCGUUAGGGCUGUCCCCGUUGAGUGGGCAGCAUCGCAGCGCCUACAUGAGCCAGGGGCAUCAUGGCGUUAAUUGUCGUGGUGGGUUCAUGGACGUGAUCCACUCAGGAAGAAGGAAGGGAACCAUGUCCAGAAAAGGUGGAAAGACUAUCUUCCAGUGGACUGGUGAUGCGUGGGACUCAUUUUGCUGCUUUCAAAGUUCCUUUGUGAAAGGUGACAAGGCUGAGAAAACCCAUUUCUACCACCCACCGCAUCCUAGAUACAUGGUCAUUAUGGAUUUCUAGGAAGAACAGAGUUGUGUCCUGUUUAUGUGGAAGGAAUCCUCUACGUGUGCGGAACAAUAUUUCCUAAAGCCAAGAGGUGUUAGUUUAAAAAGUCCAGUUAUAAAAUGAGAACAUGAGAAAAUGCUGAGUCAUUGGUUUCCUCUCCACGAGGACCUCUUUCCUGAUGGCACCACGAAGGGGGCAUAAAGUCUUCUCUAACCUCUGCCACAGGUGACUGGAUGUUGAGGCCAUGGAACUUAGUGUCCACCUUACUGAAGCAUUAUUUCUGGAUGUGACCAUGAGGGAUUUCUAAGGACUGGUAUGUAUGUGGGUGCCUGAGCUCUGUGGGCAAGGUCCACUCUCAACACAGGUGGACAACAUGCAGCCAGGCAGGAGCUACAUGGGACCAACAAGCAGAGCAAAAGAAAUUUUCCUCUGUAUCUCUCCUGGGACAGAUAUGCUCUUCCUCUGUCCUUAGACAUUAUAACUCUGAGUCAGCUGGACUCUGGACUCUGGGUUGUGGACUUGUGCUGGGUCCUCAGAUCUCUGGCCUCAGACUGAGGCUCGCACAGGUGGCUUCCCUGGUCUCUGCUUUCAGACAUAGACUGAGCCCAGCUACCAGUAAUGCAAAGCUUCCACCUUGCACAAAGCCUGUCGUGGGAAUACUCAGCCACAUUGGCCUCUUCCCCUAAGAGCUGUUGGCCCAGAGGAACUUCACUUAGAUUUCAAAGACUGCUAGGGCCAGCCUCAGUGCCAAGACAAAAACUGUCUCAAGAGAAGCUUCCCACAGUAAGUCUCCUCUAUGGCAAAGAGUGGGAGUAUAGUGUCCCACGCUACCGUCUCGCCAGCAAGAACGACGCGGCACACUUAGGAUCCUUCUGCAGAACAGCUUUAAUGUGUCUUGAG
Mesocricetus auratus (golden hamster) is the source of this 1176-nucleotide long non-coding RNA. RefSeq lists it as uncharacterized. The transcript is spliced from 4 exons. The record is from RefSeq and is a predicted model, not a curated record. Lineage: Eukaryota; Metazoa; Chordata; Mammalia; Rodentia; Cricetidae.